CACCUGUGAGGUCACCUGUGGGUCACCUGCAGGUCACAGGGUCACCAGUGAGGUCACCUGUGAGGUCACAGGGUCACCUGUGGGGUCACCUGUGAGGUCACCCGUGGGGUCACAGGGUCACCUGUGGGGUCACCUGUGGGGUCACCUGUGGGUCACGGGGUCACCUGUGAGGUCACGGGGUCACCUGUGGGUCACAGGGUCACCUGCGGGGUCACCUGUGGGGUCACCUGUGAGGUCACCCGUGGGGUCACAGUGUCACCUGUGGGGUCACCUGCAGGUCACAGGGUCACCUGUGAGGUCACCCGUGGGGUCACAGGGUCACCUGCGGGGUCACAGUGCCACCUGUGAGGUCACCUUUGGGUCACCUGCAGGGUCACAGUGCCACUCAUGGGGUCACAGGGUCACCCAUGGGGUCACAGGGUCACCAGUGAGGUCACGGGGUCACCUGUGGGGUCACGGGGUCACCUGUGAGGUCACCUUUGGGUCACCUGCAGGGUCACAGUGCCACCCCUGGGGUCACAGGGUCACCAGUGAGGUCACCUGUGAGGUCACAGUGUCACCCUUGGGGAGUGGGCGUGGCCUCCGUGGUGGUGGGGUCACUCACGGGGUCACCCCUGGGGUCACAGGGUCACCCACAAGGUCACAGUGCCACUCUCGGGGUCACAGUGCCACCCAUGGGGACGUGGGGUCACCCAUGGGGUUGUGGGGUCACCCACAGCGAUGUGGGGGUCACCCAUGGGGUCACGGGGUCACCUGCAGGGUCACAGUGUCACCCAAGGGGUCACAAGGUCACCCAGGGGGUCACAGGGUCACCCACGGGGUCACGGGGCCACCACAGUGUCACCCAUGGGGUCACAGUGUCACCUGCAGGGUCACGGGGUCACCACAGUGUCACCUGCAGGGUCACAGUGUCACCCAGGUGGUCACAGUGUCACCUGCAGGGUCACGGGGUCACCUGCAGGGUCACAGUGUCACCCAUGGGGUCACAGUGUCACCACAGUGUCACCCGUGGGGUCAUAGUGUCACCCGGAGCUGUCCCCUGGGGCUGCGUUGGUGGCCAUGGUGUCACCCUUGGGGACAGGGUGGCACAGAUCAUCUUCCUGGUGCCACUUUGGGGACAAAACGUGUCCAGCUGUCCCCGUCCUCAUCCCGGUCACCGCCGGUGUCACCUCAGGUGCCACCAGAGCCGUCCUCGGCCUCGCCGGUGUCACAGGGACCGCGUCAGCGCUGUCCUCGAUGUCACCUGCUGCCACACGGGCCUGGCCUUGUCACCUCCAGUG
This 1280-nucleotide long non-coding RNA is filed under the name Parus major (Great Tit). Its description in RNAcentral is "lncRNA (ENSPMJG00000004158.1)". The record is from RNAcentral. Lineage: Eukaryota; Metazoa; Chordata; Aves; Passeriformes; Paridae.